CGCCCCUCCCCCAGCCUUGCUGCCGCCUUGCAGUUUGAUCUCAGACUGCUGUGCUAGAAAUCAGCGAGACUCCGUGGGCGUAGGAGCCUCCGAGCCAGGUCUGCUGGAGUUUGCUGGAGGUUCACUCCAGACCCUAUUUGCCUGGGUAUCACCAGUGGAGGCUGCAGAACAGCAAAGAUUGCUGCCUAUUCCUUCCUCUGGAAGCUUCUUCCUAGAGAGUCACCUGCCAGAUGCCAGCCAGAGCUCCCCGAAAUGAGGUAUUCAGUGACAUCUUUCUAAAUUGUUUAAAAUGAGAAGCAUUGCACACUGAGAGUCAGGAUCCAAGUGUCUUUGACUGAGCCAACUCAGCUCUGCUAUUAACUUAUGGUGUGAUCGCAGGCUGUCUAGAAAAGGACACCAACAAUCACCCAUGAAGAUUGCCCUUCAACCUUUGGGAGGAAAUGAUCGAAAUGGGAGCUAGAGAAGAUUGUUGUUGGAAUCUCAGGAAAAAGUCAUAAUCCAGGCCAAAGUGAGCAAACUCCCAAGAGCAUUCCUGGUCAGCACCGCAGCAAAUCCGUGGCAAGUGCAGAGAUUAUAAGCAAUUUCUCCAUGGCUGGAAUUCAGUUGAUCUGGGACUGAACCUAUUUCUAAUGGGGUCUUGAUAUAUUGCCCAGGCUGGAGUGCAGGGGCUAUUCACAGGCACAAUCAUAGCUCACUACAGUCUCAAACUCCUAAUCUCAAGCAGUAGCUGGGACUGUAAGUAUGCACCAACACUCCCGGUUUGGGUAUCUCCAUUGAUUGGCAACCAGCACCACAGUAGAUGCUGAUGAAAAGAAAGUUAUGAAUGUCAUGUAAAAUGACAGUAGUAUUAGCAAAUGUGCUUUUAAUUAUAAGAAAAUUACAAUAUGUAAAAAAAUUUCAAUUUUCCCAUAUUAUCUCUUAAUAAUAACUGCCAUUUGUUGAGCCCAUUGGGUAUGUUACAUAUAUUAACACAACAGGAUGGACAUUAUCUAUCUUAUAUAUAUUAUGUGUAUAUAUACGGAAAACAGGACACAAAUUGUCUGAGGCCAUGGACAAUUAGCUUGCAGUAAAGUAGGAUUCUAAAUUAGGUUUCUCUAGCUCCAAGACCCAUGCCAUUUUGUUUGGUCAUUUGCUUCUGAUGAAUCAAAUAUUAAUUCAGCCAAAGACAGCUAUUCAAAGCUGGUUGAAUAACUUACUAUGUGUAAUUCACUUGUGUCCUGCCUUUCUUCCGAACUUUUGUACAAAACCUUGAUUAUUUUAAUAAGGCAUUCUAUACAUAAAGUUUCAAAUAAACCAUAAGUACCUCAAGAAAAUGUCAUAUAAUUUAGAAUUGAAUCAUAGCAUAUUUUUAAUCUGGAAGCAACAUAUCUAAAUAAGCCAUUUUUAUAUUAUAAAUACAAACAGGUACAAAGAAGUAUAGUUCACUUUACAAGCUGUUGUACAUGCAUAAUACCAUAUUAUGCUACCAAAGAAACUAUUAAGUUAUACAUAUUUUUUACAGCUUUAACUAUUUUUGUUGUCAAUUUCCUCUAAUAAGAUUUUUUCUGGAUAAACAAAAAUUUAUCUACUCAAAUGAUUGUUUUUCUUCAACAUCAUAAUGUUGCAGGCCUAUUGAUGUAUAUUUUUGUGUACUAAAUAGUUUGUGGAGCUCUUCUUGAAGAAUUAUCUUCAGAGCUGAUUAACCAGACACACCCUCCAGACAUCAUAGUCACAGCUGCUUUGAGACAGCAACAACCUCAUCCCCGCAAAUAGUAUGGAUUCCUGUCUUAUUCAAUAGGUCUGAAUUUUAAAUACUCUUAGCUUAUUUCAAGAACUAAAUCUAUCCUCCACAAAUAAAAAUGUGCUGCCGCUCAGAAUAUUUAGGAGAAUAUGUGAUAGCCAAGAUACUUUUGGCUUAUUUCAAAAAUUCAUCUAUCUCCACAAAGGAAAAUGUUUCACCAUUCAGAAUAUUCAAGAGAAUUUUCUUAGAAAAGAAAUCCAAGAUUGUAUUCAUUGGAAUAACAGACCUUUCUUCAAGGUGACUUCUUUCAAAAGAACAAUAUUUAGGGGUAUAUAGAACAUCAUUUUUAAAAUAAUUUAUUUUGCUAUAUUUACCACAUUUCAUGACACCCUAAAAGAUUUUGGCUAAUGAAAUUUAUACAGUUCAAAUGUGUAUUCCUGAAGAGACAAGACUGAGGGAAAAAAAAUUAUCUCAAAGUCAUUCUCAAAUUAGACAUGAAAUGAAUUAUUAAUUUCUACAUAUUUUACCAUCAUGCUUGUAGUUUUAAUAAACAAAAAUCAAAUGCAUAUAGGCUUCACACACUUUGUGUAAUUGCUUGUUUAACAUCCCCAAAUUCCAUAAAUGCAAAAACUAGAUCUGUCUGGCUUUCCAUUAAGUCCCCAGCACCUAGCAAGGUGCUUAACAAAUAGCAGAUGGAUGUUGGAAGGAAUAAAGGAACAAAGAAAAGAAUAGAAGAAGUUAGUGACUUGAUUCUAUACAGAGUGGACCUUGACACAUACUGCAAGUGAAUGUUAAACUAAAAGUAUAAUUUCUUUAUCAGUGAAUAUAUUUCCAUGAAUUUUAAGUAUUUUGCUGAUGAUUUAUUAAAUAUGUAUUUCACUACUUUCUUUUCUUUUAAUCAGUCCUAUUCCAUCCCCUUCAAAUAAUAAAAAAGUUUCAAUGAUUCAGACUAUUUUUGAAAAGAAGCAUACACACACACACACACACACACACACACACACUAAACAAGCCUUUAAAACUAAAAAGAUUCAUCAGAAAAUCUUACAAACUCUGGAAAGAAUACAUCUCAACAAUUCUCUGCACUUGAAGGAUAAUUUGAAAGGCACAGUUUGCCUUCAUUAAUAAAUCUUAACACUAAUGAACCUGCAAGAAGGAUUUAGGAAUCCAUUGUACUUGAAAAAGAUCAAGAGGAACAUUGUCACAUCAGGAAACCGUGCUAAGAGCUCGUUAAAUGGCCUGACUUAAAAUGCUGUAUGAACCUAAACAAAGAAGUUUUUAUAGUGUAUCUUUCUGCUUCUACCUGCCUAGAUAUCAAAUUAUGUUAUGAAGCAUUCUCUAUAAAGGAAUAGAUCAAUGCCAUAUCUCCCUCAUAGGAAUGGGACAGAUAUUAUUUGACUCCACUUACGGUUGCUAUGAAAUUUAGGCCCUCUCUUGCUAGAACUUCUCAUUUUUCAAGAGAAGCCAGAAAUAAGAUUGUUAUGUAAAUCUUAACAUUUUUAGUGCUGGCAACUAUUUAAAUUUUUUAGACACUGUGGGGGACUUCUGCUUUUCAUAAGGAUGUCAGAAGUUCACCCUAGAACAAGCUGGCUAAACUAGGUUAAAAUUAAAACCAUCCAGGAAUUGAAGCACAAAGAAACCUAAAUAAGGUGAUAAGCCCUUCCUAGGACAGAAGAGAUGCACAGCUACUUUCAUCCCUGAUGAAGCAGCAGGAGAAGGGAGAAUCUACCAUAGACAGCAGUAAGGAGGAACCAGACAAACUUUUAACAAACUUUUAAUGGCUAUCCGUUGAGAUUAUGGAUUAAAUUUCUGGGCUUUAGCCACAGAACAAGUCUGCAUCAUCUCACCAAUGGUGUCUUCACUAAGUGCAUGCAGGUAGUAUACUGAAGGCUGGGAGUGGAAGGAGAGGAGGCAGGGUCUGCUGAGGCAUGCAGGUCUUCCCCAAGUACAAGGGGGAAACCACUGAAGAUCAGGGACAGGAGAGAAACGCUAAGAAAAGUCCCUUUAAGGUCUCUACUGAUGUUCAGAAGUAGACCUCCAAAGAAAGAAUUAAGGUACCUCUCAAAGAUACAGAAAGCUGGAGGUGGGACCUAUGGGAAAUAUCACCUGGC
RNAcentral lists this long non-coding RNA (3828 nucleotides) under Homo sapiens (human). Its description in RNAcentral is "HSALNT0320695". Lineage: Eukaryota; Metazoa; Chordata; Mammalia; Primates; Hominidae. The record is from RNAcentral.